UACCAGUGGCUGCGUACCGCCCGACACUAGCAAGGGCCCGGAGGCGACUCAUACCCCACCCCCACCUCAUUGCGCUGGCCGAUACGCGUCAGACCAAAUCCUGGCUUCUGGAUCUAUGACUUCGCUGGGCCUGAGAACCAACUGUGCGGUCACUUCGCCUCCCUCAGCUGACGACUGUCCACUUGUGAGUGGCAGCAAUACCGCCUGCCAGAUCUUUGCCUCCCGAGGACAUCAGCGUAGCCUUGUGAGCAGAGCUUGGACCCAAGCUGCAGCCUCUCCCCGACCUUCGGGAGCCACACACCUCUUUUCACUGCACCUUAUACCGUGUGAUCGCCUCAGGUGCCCUUGGGGACUCUGCUGUGUGUAAAUCACCAUUCGGCCGUGUUUUCCUCUUCUACUUCUGUCGUUUCUUUCCAAGGUAAACAAAUGUCAAAAAUAGCAACUGUGCCAGUGAAGGGCAUGUGUCAUGCUGAAUCAUCAGUGACUGUGCUUUGGGCACUUUACACUUGCAGUCUUUGGUCGAGUGGGAGCCCAGGGCCUGAGUGUGGAGCACAGUAGGGUGGGGAGAGGUGUGCGCAGGUCCUAAGGGCUGGGUCCUAAAGGCAGGUCUGUGAGGGCUGGGAAUGGGCCAAUUCUUGGAAGUGGGCUCCACUGAGCCCGGGUCCUCUUCUCCCUUGAUCUCUGGGCAAGAAAGAUGCCCUUCCUAUUGUUACUUAGUGGCGCAGAGACCAGCAAUGCUUUCCAGGCUCUUAUUGUCUCGCUCAAUGAAUUGGACAGACCAGUUUGUGAAUGUGAAAGAUUAACAUUUAUUUAAGGCACAAAGAAGAAGAAAAGGAAAAGAAGCACAAAAGAAGUCCUCAAGGAGAAAAGGUUGCUUGGAAGGAAAAAAGAGAAGAUAUGUCCUGCAACAGAACAGAACUGCAAUAACUAUACUCCAGUAGUGCAAAGUCAUUUGCUGCCAUCUUUUUAUGUCUUCAGUAGUUGAUGCAGGUGGUCCACUCAAUCCUGUGCUGGAAGAUUGGGAUCAGGUGCGAGGCUCAGCUUGUCAGAAGAUUGAUAUUAGGUGUCAGGUUCAGCAUGUUCUUAUGUCAGAAGAUUGGCACCAGGUGCUUGGCUUGGCUUGAUCUUGUGUCAGGCUCGGGAGCUGCUGCUCUGCCCAUGGUAACAAGUCUCUUCAACUGGCUGGUCGUGCCAGUUGACAACCAUGUUGUCAUGCCCUAGUCUUCUGCCUCAUUUCCCACUGAGAGACACAGAUAAAUCUCUAUAAUUCCUUCUGGAGUGCUUGAGAGAGUAGAGGUCUCUGUCUUCAGAUAGCUACUUUCUACUGAAAAGGACCAUGGGCCCUACCUACUGGAGACUAUGUAUUAACCACCUUAUGUGAUGUGGGUUACUGGCUGGACUGAAACGUAUAAGGAAUUGGUGUCUAUAUAUGAAGAAGUGUUGAGCUGCCCAUUUAACAGAAGAGAGCUUGAUGAACUUGUCAGGAGCCUGUCCUUGAAGCAGAACUGGGGUCCUGCUUUCUAAAGAGGAGCCUAAGGUCUUCCAGUGCUCCGCAGUACUACUCUGUCAGAUGGUGUUCAGAUACGGCAGCAACGAUGGAAAUCUAAAGUACUUACCUGAAUUUGAAACAAAGAGGAAAUCCAUCCUGAGUGCCCUAUGUUCCCUGAAAUCGAGGCUUUAGCUCUUAUCUAUAAAAGCACAAAGCACAAUCCAUGUCCAUUCACAAGACUUACAAAAAUAAAAUACCAACUUUUCAAAUUGGAAGAAAGAAAAUAAAGUGGCUCAAGCAACUUUUCAAAAUACUGUGACAAGAUACUUCAAAAUACUUCUCUCUCCAGGUGUCCUCGUGAGAGUGGCAUCAUCUUUAAAUCCUGUGUGGCAAUCCCUGACACACUGCGGUGAUGCUCAGGGAAGA
Long non-coding RNA from Heterocephalus glaber (naked mole-rat), 1915 nucleotides. The record is from Ensembl. Lineage: Eukaryota; Metazoa; Chordata; Mammalia; Rodentia; Bathyergidae.